This is a long non-coding RNA of Sphaeramia orbicularis (orbiculate cardinalfish), 164 nucleotides long. RefSeq lists it as uncharacterized. The transcript is spliced from 3 exons. NCBI's taxonomy places the organism in Eukaryota, Metazoa, Chordata, Actinopteri, Kurtiformes, Apogonidae. The record is from RefSeq and is a predicted model, not a curated record.
UGUUUUUGAUCAUUCUCCUGUCAGUGUAUCUUUGGGUAAUUGGAUUUUCUUUUCAUAAACAAAACAAAAACUAGUGCUUAAUUGAUUUGUGUUUUAAAAUGAAGAAUUAAAAUUGAAUUUCAAGGCGUUUUUUUUUUUUUUUUUUCAGUGUCAAAAUAGAUAAA